This 254-nucleotide ribosomal RNA is filed under the name uncultured bacterium. RNAcentral's name for it is "partial 16S ribosomal RNA". It matches the Rfam family "Bacterial small subunit ribosomal RNA", at positions 524 to 776 of the family's 1533-position model. The record is from RNAcentral.
UACGGAGGGAGCUAGCGUUGCUCGGAUUUACUGGGCGUAAAGGGCGCGUAGGCGGUCAGCACAAGUCAGUUGUGAAAUCUCCGGGCUUAACUCGGAAAGGUCAACUGAUACUGUGCGACUAGAGUGCAGAAGGGGCAACUGGAAUUCUCGGUGUAGCGGUGAAAUGCGUAGAUAUCGAGAGGAACACCUGCGGCGAAGGCGGGUUGCUGGGCUGACACUGACGCUGAGGCGCGAAGGCCAGGGGAGCGAACGGG